This 706-nucleotide ribosomal RNA is filed under the name Paenibacillus taichungensis. RNAcentral describes it as "bacterial SSU rRNA". It matches the Rfam family "Bacterial small subunit ribosomal RNA", at positions 1 to 726 of the family's 1533-position model. The record is from RNAcentral. Lineage: Bacteria; Bacillati; Bacillota; Bacilli; Caryophanales; Paenibacillaceae.
UAGAGUUUGAUCCUGCGGACGAACGCUGGCGGCAUGCCUAAUACAUGCAAGUCGAGCGGACUUGAAGAGAAGCUUGCUUCUCGAUGUUAGCGGCGGACGGGUGAGUAACACGUAGGCAACCUGCCCUCAAGCUUGGGACAACUACCGGAAACGGUAGCUAAUACCGAAUAGUUGUUUUCUUCCCUGAAGRRAACUGGAAAGACGGAGCAAUCUGUCACUUGGGGAUGGGCCUGCGGCGCAUUAGCUAGUUGGUGGGGUAACGGCUCACCAAGGCGACGAUGCGUAGCCGACCUGAGAGGGUGAUCGGCCACACUGGGACUGAGACACGGCCCAGACUCCUACGGGAGGCAGCAGUAGGGAAUCUUCCGCAAUGGGCGAAAGCCUGACGGAGCAAUGCCGCGUGAGUGAUGAAGGUUUUCGGAUCGUAAAGCUCUGUUGCCAGGGAAGAACGCUUGGGAGAGUAACUGCUCUCAAGGUGACGGUACCUGAGAAGAAAGCCCCGGCUAACUACGUGCCAGCAGCCGCGGUAAUACGUAGGGGGCAAGCGUUGUCCGGAAUUAUUGGGCGUAAAGCGCGCGCAGGCGGUCAUUUAAGUCUGGUGUUUAAUCCCGGGGCUCAACCCCGGUCUAGGGUGACUUGAGUGCAGAAGAGGAGAGUGAUUGAAAAUGCGUAGAUAUGUGGAGGAACACCAGUGGCGAAGGCGACU